RNAcentral lists this ribosomal RNA (252 nucleotides) under uncultured Streptococcus sp. Its description in RNAcentral is "partial 16S ribosomal RNA". It matches the Rfam family "Bacterial small subunit ribosomal RNA", at positions 1131 to 1382 of the family's 1533-position model. The record is from RNAcentral. Lineage: Bacteria; Bacillati; Bacillota; Bacilli; Lactobacillales; Streptococcaceae.
UUGGGCACUCUAGCGAGACUGCCGGUAAUAAACCGGAGGAAGGUGGGGAUGACGUCAAAUCAUCAUGCCCCUUAUGACCUGGGCUACACACGUGCUACAAUGGUUGGUACAACGAGUUGCGAGUCGGUGACGGCGAGCUAAUCUCUUAAAGCCAAUCUCAGUUCGGAUUGUAGGCUGCAACUCGCCUACAUGAAGUCGGAAUCGCUAGUAAUCGCGGAUCAGCACGCCGCGGUGAAUACGUUCCCGGGCCUU